GAGUUUGAUCAUGGCUCAGAUUGAACGCUGGCGGCAGGCCUAACACAUGCAAGUCGAACGGUAACAGGAAGCAGCUUGCUGCUUUGCUGACGAGUGGCGGACGGGUGAGUAAUGUCUGGGAAACUGCCUGAUGGAGGGGGAUAACUACUGGAAACGGUGGCUAAUACCGCAUAACGUCGCAAGACCAAAGAGGGGGACCUUCGGGCCUCUUGCCAUCAGAUGUGCCCAGAUGGGAUUAGCUUGUUGGUGAGGUAACGGCUCACCAAGGCGACGAUCCCUAGCUGGUCUGAGAGGAUGACCAGCCACACUGGAACUGAGACACGGUCCAGACUCCUACGGGAGGCAGCAGUGGGGAAUAUUGCACAAUGGGCGCAAGCCUGAUGCAGCCAUGCCGCGUGUAUGAAGAAGGCCUUCGGGUUGUAAAGUACUUUCAGCGGGGAGGAAGGUGUUGUGGUUAAUAACCGCAGCAAUUGACGUUACCCGCAGAAGAAGCACCGGCUAACUCCGUGCCAGCAGCCGCGGUAAUACGGAGGGUGCAAGCGUUAAUCGGAAUUACUGGGCGUAAAGCGCACGCAGGCGGUCUGUCAAGUCGGAUGUGAAAUCCCCGGGCUCAACCUGGGAACUGCAUUCGAAACUGGCAGGCUUGAGUCUUGUAGAGGGGGGUAGAAUUCCAGGUGUAGCGGUGAAAUGCGUAGAGAUCUGGAGGAAUACCGGUGGCGAAGGCGGCCCCCUGGACAAAGACUGACGCUCAGGUGCGAAAGCGUGGGGAGCAAACAGGAUUAGAUACCCUGGUAGUCCACGCCGUAAACGAUGUCUACUUGGAGGUUGUGCCCUUGAGGCGUGGCUUCCGGAGCUAACGCGUUAAGUAGACCGCCUGGGGAGUACGGCCGCAAGGUUAAAACUCAAAUGAAUUGACGGGGGCCCGCACAAGCGGUGGAGCAAGUGGUUUAAUUCGAUGCAACGCGAAGAACCUUACCUGGUCUUGACAUCCACAGAAGAAUCCAGAGAUGGAUUUGUGCCUUCGGGAACUGUGAGACAGGUGCUGCAUGGCUGUCGUCAGCUCGUGUUGUGAAAUGUUGGGUUAAGUCCCGCAACGAGCGCAACCCUUAUCCUUUGUUGCCAGCGGUUAGGCCGGGAACUCAAAGGAGACUGCCAGUGAUAAACUGGAGGAAGGUGGGGAUGACGUCAAGUCAUCAUGGCCCUUACGACCAGGGCUACACACGUGCUACAAUGGCGCAUACAAAGAGAAGCGACCUCGCGAGAGCAAGCGGACCUCAUAAAGUGCGUCGUAGUCCGGAUUGGAGUCUGCAACUCGACUCCAUGAAGUCGGAAUCGCUAGUAAUCGUGGAUCAGAAUGCCACGGUGAAUACGUUCCCGGGCCUUGUACACACCGCCCGUCACACCAUGGGAGUGGGUUGCAAAAGAAGUAGGUAGCUUAACCUUCGGGAGGGCGCUUACCACUUUGUGAUUCAUGACUGGGGUGAAGUCGUAACAAGGUAACCGUAGGGGAACCUGCGGUUGGAUCACC
Molecule: ribosomal RNA, 1528 nt
Filed under: Salmonella enterica subsp. enterica serovar Enteritidis
Lineage: Bacteria; Pseudomonadati; Pseudomonadota; Gammaproteobacteria; Enterobacterales; Enterobacteriaceae
Description: bacterial SSU rRNA
Rfam family: Bacterial small subunit ribosomal RNA
Source: RNAcentral